RNAcentral lists this ribosomal RNA (463 nucleotides) under uncultured bacterium. RNAcentral describes it as "partial 16S ribosomal RNA". It matches the Rfam family "Bacterial small subunit ribosomal RNA", at positions 28 to 507 of the family's 1533-position model. The record is from RNAcentral.
GAUGAACGCUGACAGAAUGCUUAACACAUGCAAGUCGAUGGGGAAGUGGUGCUUGCACCAUGGUAACCAUGGCGGACGGGUGAGUAAUGCGUAAGGAACUUACCUGCGGGACCGGGAUAACAGCAGGAAACUGCUGACAAGACCGGAUAAGGUCAUUAAGCUGCAUAGCUUAGUGAUGAAAGGAGACGCCUGCGGAGAGCCUUGCGUCCUAUUAGCUAGUUGGAGGGGUAACGGCCCACCAAGGCGAAGAUAGGUAGCCGGCCUGAGAGGGUGGACGGCCACAAGGGGACUGAGAUACGGCCCUUACUCCUACGGGAGGCAGCAGUGGGGAAUAUUGGACAAUGGGGGCAACCCUGAUCCAGCAAUUCUGUGUGCACGAAGACGGUUUUCGGAUUGUAAAGUGCUUUCAGCAGGGAAGAAGGAAGUGACGGUACCUGCAGAAGAAGCGACGGCUAAAUACGUG